Long non-coding RNA from Physeter macrocephalus (sperm whale), 3276 nucleotides. RefSeq lists it as uncharacterized. NCBI's taxonomy places the organism in Eukaryota, Metazoa, Chordata, Mammalia, Artiodactyla, Physeteridae. The transcript is spliced from 13 exons. The record is from RefSeq and is a predicted model, not a curated record.
CUCCUAGCUGCUUCCCCCUCUGACGCGCGCAUGCGAGCCCCGGAACGCUGGGGCAGUUUUGUUUUUUUGGAUAGAAGCGAGCGCCUCUGCCUCUCCCGAUACCGAGUACGCCGGGCUUUGCUGGACCCGGAAGGAAGUCUUUGAAGAGUAGUUUUCAGGUAAAAUGGAGAGGAUUCAUUUGACAAAGGAGUCUUUAAUGUCCUAUCCAGCUUCCAAAACAACAGCAACAUGGAACCAAACCCAUGAAUUCAAGGAAUGAAAGCGUGAGCUGACCCCAGAGAUGUGCUGCCCACCUUCUUGGUUAAACAUACUCACUGUGAGGUCUGACAGCCUGACUUUGAAUCUGGGCCUUCCUCCAUCACAAGCUUAAAGUGGCCUGAUCUGAUGAUGUUCUGUGCAAUUGAAUAUGUUCUACACCAAGACCUAAGCCGUGAGUGCCAGAUCAGCUCCCAGAUGUCAGUGACUACUUUUCUCUUUCUCACCUCUAUAAGGUGACAAGGGCCUGUCUAAGGCCUUUUCUUAGGCACCCAGAGAGACUGAGCAAAUUCUUGGGACACUGAAGUACCUUGGAAGUGUUUGCCAUUUAAAGUUAUCUUCUGGUGGACCCUCUUGGAAUGUAGGACCCGCCCUUUGGGAGAGGUGCUGGGAGGAGCAGGACUGUCAUAUACCCCUCUCGAAGGGAUACAGCUGGCCGAACACUUCUUGGGACGAAAUUUGUCUUUUAUGCCUCAGACAAAAUCUAAGAAGCACCACAGUACCUCCAGUUUCAAAAGAUAUCAUAAUAUCUGCUUCUCCUGAGUUUAUUCUGACAAAGUUCAGAGGAACGGCACUACUCCAGGCCUGCAGGGCCAUCUCCACUGCUUUGUCCACUUCUGCAGAAGUCAUGGAAGGUGUGUAUUUGGAUAUUCUGUGAAAACAGAAGGAACAUGUUUUGCUUUCAGUAAGUGCUCCUAAGUGAAGAAAGCAAGAAUUACAUCAAGGUUGUAUUAAAAAUAAAAAUAUUGAACAUAUAUCUACAAUUUAGAUUUUUUUCUCCAAAAUAAUAAUUCUUAUUUUGCUUUCAUAUUUGUUAAAUUACUGAAACAUGUUAAACCAUAAGGAAAAUGAAGGGGAGAAAUGAAAGAGUUGAGAUAAUCUGGUGCUGAAACAGUUUGGCUUUCAUUGUUAUUAUAUAUCACUAACUUUAAUUUUUUUUUUUUUUUUUUUGCGGUACGCGGGCCUCUCGCUGUUGUGGCCUCUCCCGUCGCGGAGCACACGCUCCGAAUGCGCAGGCCCAGCGGCCAUGGCUCACGGGCCCAGCCGCUCCGCGGCACGUGGGAUCUUCCCGGACCGGAGCACGAACCCGUGUCCCCUGCAUCGGCAGGCGGAUUCUCAACCACUGCGCCACCAGGGAAGCCCUAUAUCACUAACUUUAAAGAACAAUACCUUGUGUAACUUUACGAGUAGCCCAAAGUCCAUUUUCCCUAAAGUGGUUUUAAUUGAGAAGGGACCUCUUUCCCCAAAAGGGGAAGUGCUAGCUCCUCACAAGGAUGCUCACUGGAACUGAAAAAGGCUUGAGUCUUUCAUCAAGUCCUGACCUGGCAAUGACAUCAGAAGGCAGAAAAGUACAGAGCAUUUUGGACAAACAAGCUGCCUGUGUGUUGGGCUGGAGAAGACAGGGAUGGAGAAGGGACAACACCAGAAAGGAAGAGCACGUGGACAGAGGUCCUGACCCAGGGUCUGGAGACUGACACAGCAGCAGUGAUGACAGCUAAUGUUCUGUAUGCCUGAAACGGAGAGGCAGGCUGACGUUCACAGCACAACCUCUGGACAACACUUACGCUCAGUUAUUUGAAGAGGAAAAAAUAACGGAAGGAGAAUAAUGUGAACAUUUUCCCCAUGGACCAUUUAUUUGUCAUUGAGGUCUUUACCAAUUUGCAAAACAAAGACUCUCCUAUUUUUCUGGAUGACGUUAAUUCUCUGAGCCAUUCUGUUUGCUCAAGCUGAUGCUGUGAUAACACUAUGCUCAUGAGAAAACAGUGGGGUUAUGGCCAUGUAUGGUGUCUAGUGAAUAACCCCAGGUACUCAACGAGAGUUUGUCACACAUGUGAACAUCAUCUCUGUUAUAUGCUGUGAGGCACACAAAACAUGAUCCUCAGAAGAAGCAAGAAAGAAAACCACAGAUCUAGUAGACUAAUUCAACUAACUGAAUUAUAAGUUCCUUGAAGAAUGAAUGAUAUAAAAGUCACUGCUACUACUACACUUUCACAGCAGCUACCACAAUUGAAGAACAAAGAAUGAGUCCUUGAAAUUUCCCUCUAUUUGAUCAUCUCAUUCCCCCUAUUUCUCCCCAAACCACUGUUGCAAUUCAUCAGGAUGGCCCCAAUGCAGGCAGGCAGUGAAGGAACGAUAGCAAGAAAUUCUGGGACCUAUAGAGAGAAAAUACUCUCACCUCCAGAACUCCAAAGAAUUUGCUAAGUCCCAUUUUUGGAAGUAGACUGAAGUAAAUAACUGCUUAUAAGGUAUGAUCUAGGUAUUUCUAGAAGAUUCCAGUAUCCACUCUUCAUUUGCGUGAAUGCAAUCAAUCCCAAUAUUCCCAAGUAUGACACUUCGAUUGUUAAGCGCAAAAACUGAAGAGGAGUAGCAAUUUAUGUUCUUAUAAGUCAUUUACACAUUAAUAUGAGGAGGUAUUACCUCAAGGCCAGUGCUAGGCAACACCCUUGACCCUUCCAAAGUGACAAACUCAAGCUGGUAAUUUCUCACUAGAUGUUUUUUUUUUUUUUUUUUGUCCUGACUUUCUCUCUUCACAGGGGAGCAAAAUUUUCCUUUCUUUCUAUCAUUCUUGUGUCAAAUCUAAACUAAAUCCAAAUCAUUCUAACCUAAAAAGAUCAUAUCAAAGCAGUUCAAUGACUAAAAGGGAAUGGAAUGAGAGCCCGUAUCAUAGAGAAAUGUGGAAAGCAUAGUAUCUGUAGAAAAAUCAGAUUAUAAAAAUAAUAUACAUGAAACAGGAGGUUGGUAGCCUCUGGGCAGUGUUGAUGUUUUGGGGUCCUGCAGACUUUGUAGAACUUUACACAGAACUAAAGUUUCCAUGUACCACUAAUGUAAGAGGAUAAGCAUUUUAAAUUACAGAAUCAAGUUUACUGCAAAGAACUGCUUUUUUCUAGACCCUAGCUGAAUUUGAUUCCAUAGGGGUUUUAGUAAAUCCUCAACAUUGAAGUUGCUGAGAUGGUGCCUGCUGUGCAUGUUAUGGAUUGAUGAAUAAUUGUUGAAUAAAUUACUGAUUGCCCAGUUGACUUA